GACGAACGCUGGCGGCGUGCCUAAUACAUGCAAGUCGAGCGAAGUUUUUCUGGUGCUUGCACCGGAAAAACUUAGCGGCGAACGGGUGAGUAACACGUAAAGAACCUGCCUCAUAGACUGGGACAACUAUUGGAAACGAUAGCUAAUACCGGAUAAUAGCAUUAACUGCAUGGUUGAUGUUUAAAAGUUAGUUUUGCUAACACUAUGAGAUGGCUUUGCGGUGCAUUAGCUAGUUGGUGGGGUAAAGGCCUACCAAGGCGACGAUGCAUAGCCGACCUGAGAGGGUGAUCGGCCACACUGGGACUGAGACACGGCCCAGACUCCUACGGGAGGCAGCAGUAGGGAAUCUUCCGCAAUGGGCGAAAGCCUGACGGAGCAACGCCGCGUGAGUGAAGAAGGAUUUCGGUUCGUAAAGCUCUGUUGUCAGGGAAGAAUGAUUGUGUAGUAACUAUACACAGUAGAGACGGUACCUAACCAGAAAGCCACGGCUAACUACGUG
RNAcentral lists this ribosomal RNA (499 nucleotides) under uncultured bacterium. Its description in RNAcentral is "partial 16S ribosomal RNA". It matches the Rfam family "Bacterial small subunit ribosomal RNA", at positions 28 to 507 of the family's 1533-position model. The record is from RNAcentral.